RNAcentral lists this ribosomal RNA (484 nucleotides) under uncultured bacterium. RNAcentral describes it as "partial 16S ribosomal RNA". It matches the Rfam family "Bacterial small subunit ribosomal RNA", at positions 28 to 523 of the family's 1533-position model. The record is from RNAcentral.
GACGAACGCUGGCGGCGUGCUUAACACAUGCAAGUCGAACGAGAACGGGUUAUAACUUGUUAUAACUGUCAGCUAAGUGGCGCACGGGUGAGUAAUGUAUAGGUAAUAUGCCUCUUACUAAGGGAUAACAAAUGGAAACGUUUGCUAAUACCUUAUACUCCUUAUUAACCUAAGUUAAUAAGGGAAAGAUUUAUUGGUAAGAGAUUAGCCUGUAUUGUAUCAGUUAGUUGGUGGGGUAAUGGCUUACCAAGACUAUGACACAUAACUGGUUUGAGAGGAUGAUCAGUCACACUGGAACUGAGACACGGUCCAGACUCCUACGGGAGGCAGCAGUGGGGAAUAUUGCACAAUGGACGAAAGUCUGAUGCAGCAACGCCGCGUGGAGGAUGACACAUUUCGGUGCGUAAACUCCUUUUAUAUGAGAAGAUAAUGACGGAAUUAUAUGAAUAAGCACCGGCUAACUCCGUGCCAGCCGCCGCGGUAA